AGGGUAUGCGGAACGAUCAUU
Molecule: ribosomal RNA, 21 nt
Filed under: Solanum lycopersicum (tomato)
Lineage: Eukaryota; Viridiplantae; Streptophyta; Magnoliopsida; Solanales; Solanaceae
Description: partial 18S ribosomal RNA
Source: RNAcentral